UACGAACGCUGGCGGCAGGCUUAACACAUGCAAGUUGAACGGGAUUGUUUUGGUGCUUGCACUGAGACAUGAGAGUGGCGCACGGGUGAGUAAUAUGUAGGAACGUACCUAUUGGUUUGGAACAACGCUUGGAAACGAGUGCUAAUACCGGAUAAGCCCUGAGGGGGAAAGAUUUAUCGCCGAUAGAACGGCCUGCAUCAGAUUAGGCAGUUGGUGGGGUAAAGGCCUACCAAACCUACGAUCUGUAGCUGGUCUGAGAGGACGAUCAGCCACAUUGGGACUGAGACACGGCCCAG
RNAcentral lists this ribosomal RNA (296 nucleotides) under uncultured bacterium. Its description in RNAcentral is "partial 16S ribosomal RNA". It matches the Rfam family "Bacterial small subunit ribosomal RNA", at positions 29 to 334 of the family's 1533-position model. The record is from RNAcentral.